AGAGUUUGAUCCUGGCUCAGGAUGAACGCUAGCGACAGGCUUAACACAUGCAAGUCGAGGGGCAGCGGGGGCGUAGCAAUAUGCCUGCCGGCGACCGGCGCACGGGUGAGUAACACGUAUGUAACCUGCCCUAUGCAGGGGGAUAACCCGGAGAAAUCCGGCCUAAUACCGCGUAACACCUUAGGGGAGCAUUCUCUUGAGGUUAAAGGAGAGAUCCGGCAUAGGAUGGACAUGCGUCGCAUUAGGUAGACGGCGGGGUAACGGCCCACCGUGCCGACGAUGCGUAGGGGUUCUGAGAGGAAGGCCCCCCACACUGGUACUGAGACACGGACCAGACUCCUACGGGAGGCAGCAGUGAGGAAUAUUGGUCAAUGGCCGAGAGGCUGAACCAGCCAAGUCGCGUGAGGGAAGAAUGUCCUAAGGAUUGUAAACCUCUUUUGUCGGGGAGCAAAAAGGCUCUGCGGAGUCGUAUUGAGAGUACCCGAAGAAAAAGCAUCGGCUAACUCCGUGCCAGCAGCCGCGGUAAUACGGAGGAUGCGAGCGUUAUCCGGAUUUAUUGGGUUUAAAGGGUGCGCAGGCGGCGUGUCAAGCAAGCGGUAAAAUAGCGGGGCUCAACCCCGUCGAGCCGUUUGAACUGGCGCGCUUGAGUUCAGGCGAGGUAGGCGGAAUUCGUGGUGUAGCGGUGAAAUGCAUAGAUAUCACGAAGAACUCCGAUUGCGAAGGCAGCUUACCAGUCUGCGACUGACGCUCAGGCACGAAAGUGUGGGUAUCGAACAGGAUUAGAUACCCUGGUAGUCCACACAGUAAACGAUGAGCGCUAGGUGUCCGGGUCGCAUGAGACUUGGGUGCCCGAGCGAAAGCGUUAAGCGCUCCACCUGGGGAGUACGCCGGCAACGGUGAAACUCAAAGGAAUUGACGGGGGCCCGCACAAGCGGAGGAACAUGUGGUUUAAUUCGAUGAUACGCGAGGAACCUUACCCGGGCUCAAACGACUCAGGAAUAUAUUGGAAACGAUGUAGCCAGCAAUGGUCUGAGUCGAGGUGCUGCAUGGUUGUCGUCAGCUCGUGCCGUGAGGUGUCGGCUUAAGUGCCAUAACGAGCGCAACCCCUACCGCCAGUUGCCAACGGGUAAAGCCGGGAACUCUGGCGGGACUGCCGGCGCAAGCUGUGAGGAAGGCGGGGAUGACGUCAAAUCAGCACGGCCCUUACGUCCGGGGCGACACACGUGUUACAAUGGCAGGUACAGCGGGAAGCCACCUGGUGACAGGGAGCGGAACCCGAAAGCCUGUCUCAGUUCGGAUUGGAGUCUGCAACUCGACUCCAUGAAGCUGGAUUCGCUAGUAAUCGCGCAUCAGCCAUGGCGCGGUGAAUACGUUCCCGGGCCUUGCACACACCGCCCGUCA
RNAcentral lists this ribosomal RNA (1401 nucleotides) under uncultured bacterium. RNAcentral's name for it is "16S ribosomal RNA". It matches the Rfam family "Bacterial small subunit ribosomal RNA". The record is from RNAcentral.